This 432-nucleotide ribosomal RNA is filed under the name uncultured bacterium. RNAcentral's name for it is "partial 16S ribosomal RNA". It matches the Rfam family "Bacterial small subunit ribosomal RNA", at positions 29 to 504 of the family's 1533-position model. The record is from RNAcentral.
AACGAACGCUGGCGGCAUGCCUAACACAUGCAAGUCGAACGAGACCUUCGGGUCUAGUGGCGCACGGGUGCGUAACGCGUGGGAACCUGCCCUUAGGUUCGGAAUAACUCCCCGAAAGGGGUGCUAAUACCGGAUAAUGUCUUCGGACCAAAGAUUUAUCGCCUUUGGAUGGGCCCGCGUUGGAUUAGCUAGUUGGUAGGGUAAAAGCCUACCAAGGCGACGAUCCAUAGCUGGUCUGAGAGGAUGAUCAGCCACACUGGGACUGAGACACGGCCCAGACACCCACGGGGGGGGGAGGAGGGGAAAAUAUGGGACGGGGCGAAAGCCCGAUACCCCGCAGCGCCGUGAGUGAGAUAAGGCUUAUGGGUGUAUAGCGCUUUUUCCCGGGAGAUGAUAAAGACAGUCGGGAGAGAAUACGCCCCGGAACACCCC